ACGGUCAAUGCAGAGUUGCUUUUAUCUUAUAGUGAUCAUUCUGACAAACUCAUUUUGAUACUUCGCUUGGCUGUAAUAACAGCUGUAGUUCUGACUGUGCCUGUCCUUCUGUUCACUGUCCGUUCUUCAAUUGUCUUGCUGGUGUUUAAAGGGAAAUUCAGAUGGCUCCAUCACUUUUUCAUUACAGUCCUUCUUCUCGCUGGCAGCAACGUUUUGGUGAUAUGCAUUCCAACGAUAAUGGAUGUAUUUGCUGUUAUUGGCUCGACUUCUGCUAACAUGCUGAUCUUCAUUCUUCCUGCUUCGCUAUAUUUAAAACUUGUGAAGAAUGAGCCUCAAAAUAGCUGGAAAAGAAUAGGGGCUAUGGCUUUUCUGGCGGUUGGGAUAAUAUUCAUGUUCAUCACUGUGCCAUUGAUCUUUGUUGAAUGGCACAAAAGAAGCAGCAACAAUACCAGCGCAGGCAGCUGCUCUGGUCAACAUUGAUAUUAGUAAUGGGAUGAAGACAAGGCAAGCUUUCUCAGCAACACAAGGCCUCUGAAGAUGCUUUGUUCAAAACAUUGUUUGGAUCAUCAGAAGUUACGACACUUCUUGGAUUUUUCAUUUGCAAAAUGGUCAUUACAGGAAAAGGUAGCCGUAUUAAAAUUUGGAUAAUGUGACUGUACACUCAGACAAUUCUGAAGCUGCAGUCUUCAUAGAUGGACGAUCAUAAGUAAAUUUUAGUUUUGCUCUUGUCUCAAAAUUUCAUAACUGUUUUGAAAAAAAAGCAUUUCCACUAUUAUAUUUGAACUUGCUAAUGAGCUCCUUGGAGUGUCAAGUAUUUCCUAAAAAUCUAAUUGUCAAUGUAUUUCUUGAAUAUCUUUUUUUCAGCUUUUUGGUAGCCCAUUUCAUUUUGAUUAGACAUUUUAAAAGUAGAUUUAUUUUCUUUGACCAAUACAAAGCCUAACCAUUUCUCCAUUAUCUAGUUUAAUAUGACAUUGUUGUGCUUUGGAGAAAUUAGUCUUAGGAACCAAUAAUAAAACAUGGUUGAAAUUAUGUCCUGAUGCACAAAUGGAUGAUAACUUAAUACAUUCCUCAUAAAUGCCUCUCUUUAUAGUAUUGGUGGAGACAAGAGCAUUUCUAGAUUACAAUUUAACUGUUACUGAAUUACACCAUUGUUAAUAGAGCAUGUUAAACUUAGAAUGGUUAUGGCACUGAAAGAGGUCAUUUGGGAAAGUGAGAGCGUCUAGGACGGAAGAGCAUAAUUUUACAAUAAGGAGAUCACAGAUUUAAAACAGAGAAUAGGAGAAAUUUCUUCCCUCAGAGGGUAGUGAAUCUGUGGAAUUUUUUUCCCACAGAUGGCUGUGGAGGCUGGGCCAUUAAAUACAUUGCAGGCUGAUAUGGAUUCCUUAUCAGUAAGGGCGUCAAGGGUUACAUAGAAAAGAUAGGAAGGUGGAGUUGAAGAUUAUCAGAUCAGUCAUGAUCUCAUUGAAUGGCUGACUUGAUGGGCUGAAUGGCCUACUUCUGCUCCUAUGUCUUACAGUCUUGGCCCUUCAUAUUUAUACUGGUUCUCUAAAAGAGCAGCUGAGCUGGACCCACUCCCUUGCCCGUUCUCUGUGGCCCUGCAUUUUUUUUUCUUCAGACACUUCCCUAAUUCCUCUUUGAGUCUGCUUCCGUCACAAUCUCAGGCAGUGCACUACAGAUACUAUCCACCCACAGUGUUACCAAGAAGUUUAAUGUUGUCUUUGCUUUUUUUUUGCUAGUCCCUACAGGUCCUCAAACCUUUCACUGAUAGAAACUAUUUUUCUCUACCUCCUGUGCCUGGACCCCUACCUCCUGUGCCUGGACCCCUUAUGACUUAUUGAUCAAAUCUUCACUGAACAUUCUCUGGAAGGAGAAUAAAUUCAGCUGUUCCAAUCACAUUUAUGUCAAAUAUAAUGCUGCAGACACUUUCACUGCCUACAAUUGUCCUCCUGAUUUUAAGUGUUAUUUUUGCAUCAGUUUUCUUUAGUUGUACUUGAAUAUGAACAUUUCUGGCAAGGCCAGUAUUUAGUGCCUGUUGUUGAUUAUCCUUGAGAAGGUGGUGGUGAUAAUGCAGUUCAUGAAAUAGUGAGUUGAAAAAUAAUCUCUAUAGUCACAAUCUUGGCUUAAUAUUAGCUGAGGCACCACGUUGAAGUUUGUUUCAACACAAGGACUGUUUCAGACAUUGCACAACCCAACGAUACAUUAUGACUGUGGAGUGUAAAUAUUCUGCACCUAUGACUCAGACGUACAGUUUAAAUCUGUAUUUUUUUAAUGUACAUGAAACAGUAUUCAUAUUGGAACAAUUUUCUUCUGAUAAGUAUACUAUUCAUCUUACAGUGUAUGUAAAGUCGGUAUCUCUCUGCAUACUUUGUAAAUUUUUUUAUGAUAUGAAUUUACUCUGUGAAAUAAUGAAUCUUACUUUAGCAAAAGAUCCUAAUUAGUGACCUAGACUCAAAGGUUUGAAAUGUUGCCAAGUACUUGAAUUUUAUUUAUGGCCAGUACAUGUGCAACAGGGGAACGAUUCUGAAUUUGAAAGAGCUAUGAUGCAGAGGUACCGGUGUUGGUCUGGGGUAGACAAAGCCAGACGUCACACCACACCAAGUAAUAGUCCAACAGAUUUAUUUGAAAUCACAAGCUUUCGGAUCGCUGCUCCUUCAUCAGGUGAAUUCUGAUGUUGUUCAAAAAAGCUGGCUUGUUUCAUUAAAACUGUGAGCAGUUUCCAUUGUUUGUGGAAUGUAAAAUGUAACAAAGUUAUGGCUUUAUUGUAAAGCAGAAGUAUUAUACUUUUUGUGAUAUGAACAAUAAAGAUAUACUGUAAAUAAUGCAAUAUA
Long non-coding RNA from Rhincodon typus (whale shark), 2828 nucleotides. RefSeq lists it as uncharacterized. Lineage: Eukaryota; Metazoa; Chordata; Chondrichthyes; Orectolobiformes; Rhincodontidae. The record is from RefSeq and is a predicted model, not a curated record. The transcript has 4 exons.